RNAcentral lists this long non-coding RNA (940 nucleotides) under Mus musculus (house mouse). RNAcentral's name for it is "RIKEN cDNA 5430402O13 gene, transcript variant 2 (5430402O13Rik)". The record is from RNAcentral. Lineage: Eukaryota; Metazoa; Chordata; Mammalia; Rodentia; Muridae.
AGGAUGUGCCCAGAGGGCGCCCUUCCUUCAGAGGCCUCGUUUGCCCGACACUUACGACAGGCCUUAGGACGUAAGGCGUGGACGUGCGUGACGUCACCCUCUGGCCUGCGAGAUGGCGAGGGCAAGUAGCGGGGCCGAUGCUCCCUUGGGAUCCGGGUGUGGCUCGGCUCAGGUAACGCCCGGCCCUAGGACUCCUUCGGCCUCCGCCCACGGGGAGUGCUGAGACUGCCGGCCGGUGUGCUGGCGACCUUUACCCAGGCUUGGUCAAGGCUUCCUGGCUGGCGCAACUGCACUGGCCUCGCAGUGGACGCCUGCUGGUGACCUUUACUCUGUUAAACCAUCUUCCUGCUCUCCCAGUGAGAGCCUCAAAGCUGGGGAAGUGAAUGGAUGAACUGGGAGAUGUCUGACUCGACUUAGAAUUUCUGAAGCAUGCACACUAUGGCUAAGUUUCAGACUGAAAAGCCAGAAAAAACAGGUAGAAGUUACAAGAAAGAAAAAGUCUUUUUAGAAACACCACAAAGAAAAUGAUCAACAAUCAAGAACAGACAAAAGCAGAAUGGAUUGGCUGUGUGGAAGGUUUUUGUUUUAUGAGUGUGUGUAUAUGCAUGACUGUAUGUAUGGUACACGUGUGUGCAGUUGCCCUAGGAGGCCAGGAGAGGGCACUGCAUCUUCAGGAACUGGAAUUACUGGUGGUUGCAAGCUGCCUAAUGUAGGAUAUGGGAGCCAGACUCACAUCUUGAGAACCAAACUUGUGUCCGUAGGAAGAACAGCAAGUGCUCUUAACAGAUGAAGUAUCUUUCCAGCCCUACUUUGGAAGUGUUUAAACUGAGAUAAGGUGGCUUUCUGUCUUAAUUCCCUAAGAAUAAAGAAAAAAGUUUGUUGUAUGUGUUUCUACGCAGAUUGUGAAGCCAGAAGUUGACAUUAAACAUCUUCCUUGACC